GCGCGAAAACUUUACAAUGCGGGAAACCGUGAUAAGGGGACACCGAGUGCCAGCAUCAUAUGCUGGCUGUCCAGAUGUGUAAAAUACAUCUGUUAGCAAGGGCCGGGCAAGACCGGUGCCAGCCGCCGCGGUAACACCGGCGGCCCGAGUGGUGAUCGUGAUUAUUGGGUCUAAAGGGUCCGUAGCCGGUUUGGUCAGUCCUCCGGGAAAUCUGAUGGCUCAACCAUUAGGCUUUCGGGGGAUACUGCCCAG
This 252-nucleotide ribosomal RNA is filed under the name uncultured Methanosarcina sp. RNAcentral's name for it is "partial 16S ribosomal RNA". It matches the Rfam family "Archaeal small subunit ribosomal RNA", at positions 339 to 591 of the family's 1478-position model. Lineage: Archaea; Methanobacteriati; Methanobacteriota; Methanomicrobia; Methanosarcinales; Methanosarcinaceae. The record is from RNAcentral.